CUGCUGCCUUCCGUAGGAGUCUGGGCCGUAUCUCAGUCCCAAUGUGGCCGUUCAACCUCUCAGUCCGGCUACUGAUCGUCGCCUUGGUAGGCCAUUACCCCACCAACUAGCUAAUCAGACGCAAGCCCAUCUACCAGUGGAUUGCUCCUUUCCUAACUGUAUCAUGCGAUACUGUUAGCAUAUGCGGUAUUAGCAAUGAUUUCUCACUGUUAUUCCCCUCUGAUAGGCAGGUUG
This 234-nucleotide ribosomal RNA is filed under the name uncultured bacterium. RNAcentral describes it as "partial 16S ribosomal RNA". The record is from RNAcentral.